Molecule: ribosomal RNA, 948 nt
Filed under: Camarops ustulinoides
Lineage: Eukaryota; Fungi; Ascomycota; Sordariomycetes; Boliniales; Boliniaceae
Description: mitochondrial SSU rRNA
Rfam family: Bacterial small subunit ribosomal RNA
Source: RNAcentral
GUCAAUGGCCUAACGGCUGAACCGGCAACUUGGAGGAAUGGAUAAAUUGUAGUUUUGAAUAUCUACUUAAUGAGUCAUCGUAUAUAAUUCUGUAUACAUAUUGAUAAUGACAAUAUGUACAUAUUGUCUUGACCAAUUACGUGCCAGCAGUCGCGGUAAUACGUAAGAGACUAGUGUUAUUCAUCUUAAAUAGGUUUAAAGGGUACUUAGACGGCAGAAUUAGCCUUAAAAAGGUACAAUUUUGCUAGAGUUUUAUGCAAGGGGGUAGUACUCGGGAGUGGAGAGAUAAAAUUUUUUGAUACCUCGAGGACUGGUAAAGGCGAAGGCAACCUUUUAUGUAAAAACUGACGUCGAAGGACGAAGGCACAGGGCACGAACAGGAUUAGGUACCCCAGUAGUCUUUGCAGAGAAUUAUGAAUGUCAUAGGUUAGGUUAGAUAACGAAGAAUAUUCGGUUUAAUAGUGUGUAUAAUAUAGUGAUUAUAUAGUAUAUAUUUAACAUUAUAUUAUAUUAAUAUAAACUUUUAAAUUACUACUAGUAUUAUCUUUAUACUUAGUCUAUAAAUGAAAGUGUAAGCAUUUCACCUCAAGAGUAAUGUGGCAACGCAGGAACUGAAAUCACUAGACCGUUUCUGACACCAGCAGUGAAGUAUGUUAUUUAAUUCGAUAAUCCACGAAAAAUCUUACCACAAUUUGAAUAUUAAUAGUAAUAUAUCUUACGAUAUAAAUAAUAUAAAAUUAUAAGAAGGAGUAAUUUAUAUUAUUUUCUGUCUGUAUUAUUAAAUACAAGUGUUGCACGGCUGUCUUCAGUUAAUGUUGUGAAACUGUGGUUUGGUCCAUGGAAUUAACGAAAACCCUUGCUUUAUUUGUAAAUAAUCAAAUGCUAUAUUUAAUAUAUAGCUUAUGAUAAAGCAGUUCACCCUUUAUAUUGGGUAUGAUAAUAGGGAUC